CACAGCGCAUGCAAUGUGGAUA
This 22-nucleotide microRNA is filed under the name Xenopus laevis (African clawed frog). RNAcentral's name for it is "Xla-Mir-460-P2d_3p (mature (co-guide))". Lineage: Eukaryota; Metazoa; Chordata; Amphibia; Anura; Pipidae. The record is from RNAcentral. RNAcentral also lists the same sequence under 1 other name.